UACGGGGGGUGCAAGCGUUGUCCGGAUUUACUGGGCGUAAAGAGUUCGUAGGCGAUUAGGUAAGUCACUUUUCAAAGACCGGAGCUUAACUUCGGGAAGGGGAGUGAUACUAUCUGAAUUGAAAUAUUUUGGGGCUAUUGGAACUAACGGUGUAGGAGUGAAAUCCGUUGAUAUCGUUAGGAACACCGAGGGCGAAGGCAAGUAGCUAAAAAUUAUUUGACGCUGAAGAACGAAAGCUAGGGGAGCGAAA
This 250-nucleotide ribosomal RNA is filed under the name uncultured bacterium. RNAcentral describes it as "partial 16S ribosomal RNA". It matches the Rfam family "Bacterial small subunit ribosomal RNA", at positions 524 to 773 of the family's 1533-position model. The record is from RNAcentral.